AAAUCUCUGAUACAUACUGAUUCAAUUCUUUCUCUGUUAAAACAAACUUCGAGAAGUAUUGAGGAUUGUUGUACAAUACAACUGUGAAUAAUUAUUAAUUAAUUAAAAUAAAUAUUAAUUAUUAUACAAUUGAAAAUAAUACCGUUUAAAACAAGUACUCAUCUGUAUCUAUUAAACAAAGCGUGAACAAAAUUUUAUCAAAAAAAAUACACUCUUAAUAAAUGACAUAAGACUGUUUCUAGUUUUCAUGGAUAUCUAUUUUCGUUUUUCAAUAGAUUUUCUACUCACUUUCUAUCGUCCUGCAUCUAUAAUGCGUGCAGAAAUAACCGAGCAGAAAUAAGAACAGCGGAAAAUAUUUUUACAUUAAUAUAAUGUGAAGUCAAAAUAGCAACCAUUUUAUUAGCAAGAAGAAGACAAAAGCAGGAUGGUUUCCACAAAAGAAGAGUGGGGAUAUUAUGGAUUAUUUAAAUAUAUUGGCCGAUUUUCCCGCUUGUUUGGCUCAUUUCCGUUUAUAAUGUCAUCUGAACCAAAAGUCUCAACAUUGCAAAAGUACUAUGGAUUAUUUAUCAUCCUACCAUGGAUAAAUGCUGUUUUCUUCUAUUCUCUAUAUACAGAGAUUACGGACAUUACAGAAAAUUCUCGCCAUGCAUGGCCUGUGAUAUAUUUAAUUUAUACAGCAUUCUCAGUGUUGUAUAUCGAUAUGGCUGUUUGGACCGCACCAACCCGCAUUUAUUCCUGGAUAUCAUGUUUAAAGAAUAUUGAAAAGAUAUUAAUAAGAACUAAGGAAACAGAUCAAAAGGAAUUGUUUAAAUGUAAAGUGUUAACUGUUUACUUAAUAACUACAUUAUUUGCUAUAUUCGCAAAUUCUGUAAAGUUGUGUAUGGAAUUGGAUAAAUGCACGUACUUUAACUUUGCAUAUAAAUUUAAUGGUUUAUUCUUCUAUACUUUGUGUAGGAUCUGUGAAUUGUUUUUAUUCGUAAUAUUAAUAUUUCGGGUACAUAAAGCUACGAAAAUAAUGAAUGAAGAACUAAAAAAGCUUCUGCAUGAAAGAGACGUGAACAAUAGACUAAUUUUGCGGAACAAUUACAUGAUUGGGUCAAGGUUCGAAGGUAAAGUAAAAAAUAUAAAUUAAACAAUAUAAUUAAAAUAUUAAAUUAAAUAUUUAAGCCUGACACUAAGGAAACAUUUGUCAUAAAUUAUAAAUAUUUACGAAGAUUGAUAAUAUCAUAAAUUAUGUAAUAUUCCAAAUAAUUACCUUAUGAGAACUUUAAUUUAUUUAUUUUCUCUUUGACUCUCAGCCCAAAAGUUCAGCCAUGGAGAUGGAACUGAGAAAAUUCGCGAACUUAUUAAAUUCUAUACGACAGUAAAUGAUGUAAUUAAGACAGUGAUGGAGUCUGGGGAAAUGGGCUUAUUUUUAUACAUUAUGGGUAACCUUGUACGUUUGAUGACUAGGGCCAAUGACUAUGUUUAUUUGAAUUAUUCCUUCCAUGGGGAGAAUUUUGACGGAUCCUACAUGCUCGCAAGCAUCUUGGGAAUAUUCUGGUGUACCCAAAUUGUUGCGAAAUCAUUUCUGUUUUGCGAGGGACCUCAUCAAAUUCAACGCCAGUUGCAAGAAACUCAAGACAUAAUCGCGAGACUGAAGAAGAAAUAUCACGAGGAUAAUAUGUCAAAUGAGCUACACUUAUUUCUUCGUUUGACGAGGCUCAAUCGACCCACUUUUUCGCCGCUUAGCGUCUGUACUCUGAAUAGGGGUUUAGUUGCUAAGAUACUCGGAUGCGCUGCAACAUAUAUAUUGGCAUUCAUACAACUGGAAAUGUAUGAGAACUCAAAAAAGUAAGAAGAGUUUGGGUAUUAUAGUGCUAAAUAAAACAUUUUUUUCAAAAUGCACCUUAGUUUAUGUGUGUGCACAGAAUAGAUAGAAUAAUUUACAGAUUAAGAAAAUACGCUUUAAUUAAAAAUUGAAAAAAACAAUUAAAAAAUACAUCGUAUUCAUAGAUUAACAGAAGAUGUUUAAAAUAGAAUCUAAAGUAGUUUUAAAAAGAUUAUCCAAAUCGUAAUAGAACUGUAUUAUUCCAUUGACGGCAAACGAAGUACAUAAGUUAAGAUGGGAAUAAAAAGACUGAUAGACAGUGCUGAGUGUGAGGUAAUUUCCAGAAGACGAUGAGAAAGAUUAUAUGGUAUUAUUUUUUUUUGGAUAUAUUUUUCACAUUUAUCAAAAUUUAAAGUUAGACCUAUUGAAAUUAAAUUUCAUAUAAUCUUAAAGUACUACACCUGCGUUACCUCCUAGAGUACCAUCAUCAAGAAACCAGACGUUAAAAUUUGAUUUUAAAUUGUACACAAGAAUUUAUUGCGAGACUAAAAAAAAGCCGGCCCAAAAGGACCUCCUUGUUAACAACCAACUUCUGAAGAGAGUUCGUAAUUCUUGUUACUUUUGAUGGCUCUGAGUAACACUGUAAACGAUAAUUAUAUAUUUCUGGAAUAUACUUUUGUUAGAAUUCAAUAAAUUCAAAGUAAAUGUAUAUAUUCGUUAUAUGUAAUAACUGCAUAUAAUAUAGCAAUUAAAUAGCAAUACUUUGAAAGCAAAUAGAAGUGACAGUGUUUACAUUAAAAAUAAAUUUUGUCUAGAAGUUACUUGUUUAAUCACAAUGAAAAUAUCUUCUUACACAUCUCUCUCAUUUGUAGAAUAAGAUGUAUUGUAGCAAUUUUAACCAUUAAGGCAUAAAACACUCAUGACCGAAUUUGACUUGGGUAACUUUCGGUAUCAAUUCUUUCGUUGUGUAUUUCUAUAUUAAAUAAAAAUAUGGUUAAAUAAAAAAGCCUUUUUUCAAACUUCUUUACUAAACCUAUUCAGUACACGUAAAAUCCUUAUAAAUA
Pieris napi is the source of this 2874-nucleotide RNA transcript. RefSeq lists it as uncharacterized. NCBI's taxonomy places the organism in Eukaryota, Metazoa, Arthropoda, Insecta, Lepidoptera, Pieridae. The record is from RefSeq and is a predicted model, not a curated record. The transcript has 9 exons.